This 601-nucleotide ribosomal RNA is filed under the name uncultured bacterium. RNAcentral describes it as "bacterial SSU rRNA". It matches the Rfam family "Bacterial small subunit ribosomal RNA", at positions 211 to 804 of the family's 1533-position model. The record is from RNAcentral.
GGGAAUGCUAUGAGAUGGUCCUGCGGCGCAUUAGCUAGUUGGUGAGGUAAAGGCCCACCAAGGCGACGAUGCGUAGCUGUGCUGAGAGGCAAAACAGCCACACUGGGACUGAGACACGGCCCAGACUCCUACGGGAGGCAGCAGUAGGGAAUUUUCGGCAAUGGGCGAAAGCCUGACUGAGCAAUGCCGCGUGAAUGAAGAAAUUCUUCGGAAUGUAAAAUUCUGUGGUGAGGGAAGAAAGGUAUUAGAAGGAAAUGGCUAAUAUUUGACGGUACCUUACUAGAAAGCCCCGGCUAACUAUGUGCCAGCAGCCGCGGUAAUACAUAGGGGGCAAGCGUUAUCCGGAAUUAUUGGGCGUAAAGCGUGCGUAGGCGGCCACUUAAGUCUGCCGUGAAAGCCCACAGCUUAACUGUGGAGGGUCAAUGGAAACUGAGAGGCUUGAAUCUAGGAGAGGUAAGUGGAAUUCCAUGUGUAGCGGUAAAAUGCUUAGAUAUAUGGAGGAACACCAGUGGCGAAGGCGGCUUACUGGUCUAGAAUUGACGCUGAUGCACGAAAGCGUGGGUAGCAAACAGGAUUAGAUACCCUGGUAGUCCACGCCGUA